GCAGGGUCACAGCACGGGAUGCUCACCCGGCGGUUGCGGUCGGUCUCCCGCACCUCCUCCUCCUCGGGGCCUUGGCGGAUGAGCGCCUUGAGUACGAUGGUGUUGUUGGUGCAGCAGGCUCGGAAGAGGGUGAAUGUCCAGGGUCUGAGUACCUGUCUGCCUGAUGGGAGAGAAACAAGCUGGCGUUUUUGCAGGAGGAGAGUUAGUGUGGCCACUGAUCUGCUCAACAGAAUGUUAAUAUUUCCUGGAGUACCACCUGUGUUUUGGAAGAACUCCGUUUUUUUCUUCAGACCCUGCAGCUGGAAGGGAGUAUUUGCAUGUUGUCAGCCUGAACUCACCAUAAAAGCUCAGGAAGACAUUUGGCUCCAGUAACUUUGCAAAGCAGGAAAAUAAAACUAAUUCUAAUCAGAGAGAAACAAAAAUCUUUUGGGGUGAAGAUUCAGCUCAUCUCUAAGAACGGAUUAAUCAAAUACACUUGCUUUGUUUCUACCACAAGAAUAAAGAUUUACUUUAUUUGCCAGA
Long non-coding RNA from Columba livia (rock pigeon), 522 nucleotides. RefSeq lists it as uncharacterized. The record is from RefSeq and is a predicted model, not a curated record. The transcript is spliced from 3 exons. Lineage: Eukaryota; Metazoa; Chordata; Aves; Columbiformes; Columbidae.